This 245-nucleotide ribosomal RNA is filed under the name uncultured bacterium. Its description in RNAcentral is "partial 16S ribosomal RNA". It matches the Rfam family "Bacterial small subunit ribosomal RNA", at positions 57 to 305 of the family's 1533-position model. The record is from RNAcentral.
GCAAGUCGAGCGGUAAGGCCCUUCGGGGUACACGAGCGGCGAACGGGUGAGUAACACGUGAGCAAUCUGCCCUUCACAUCGGGAUAACCCCCGGAAACGGGAGCUAAUACCGGAUACGACCACUUCAGGCAUCUGAUGGUGGUGGAAAGUUCUGGCGGUGAAGGAUGAGCUCGCGGCCUAUCAGCUUGUUGGUGAGGUAAUGGCCCACCAAGGCUUCGACGGGUAGCCGGCCUGAGAGGGUGACC